This 85-nucleotide signal recognition particle RNA is filed under the name Actinomycetota bacterium. Its description in RNAcentral is "Actinobacteria bacterium signal recognition particle sRNA small type". It matches the Rfam family "Bacterial small signal recognition particle RNA". Rfam says of the family: The signal recognition particle (SRP) is a universally conserved ribonucleoprotein involved in the co-translational targeting of proteins to membranes. The record is from RNAcentral. Lineage: Bacteria; Bacillati; Actinomycetota.
GCGCCGCGGCGGUGGAAGUGUGUGAACCGCGUCAGGGCCGGGAGGCAGCAGCGCUAAGCAUUCCUUCCAGGCGCCGCGGUUUAGC